ACGCGGAGAUCACCACGCUCACCGCGGAGGUCAUGGUCGCCGGCACGGACACCACGGCCACCUUGUUCGAGUGGAUCAUGGCGGAGCUGGUGAACCACCCAGACGUGCAAGCCAAGCUCUACGACGAGGUGAGGGGCGAGGGGGAGCUCAAGGAAGGCGACCUCCGCGGGAUGCGGUACCUCAAGGCCGUCGUGCUCGAGGGCAUGCGGAUGCACCCCGGAGCGCACCUGAUUUUCACCCACAGGGCCAUGGAAGACACGGACAUCGGCGACUACACGGUGCCCAAGGACGCCCAGGUCCACUUCCUCGUCGCCGA
RNAcentral lists this long non-coding RNA (316 nucleotides) under Hordeum vulgare. RNAcentral describes it as "long non-coding RNA (HVUL_LNC002562)". Lineage: Eukaryota; Viridiplantae; Streptophyta; Magnoliopsida; Poales; Poaceae. The record is from RNAcentral.